Molecule: ribosomal RNA, 253 nt
Filed under: uncultured bacterium
Lineage: Bacteria
Description: partial 16S ribosomal RNA
Rfam family: Bacterial small subunit ribosomal RNA
Source: RNAcentral
UACGAAAUGUGCGAGCGUUGUUCGGAAUCACUGGGCAUAAAGGGUCUGUAGGCGGUCUUAUUAGUUGGUGGUGAAAUACCUCGGCUCAACCGGGGAACUGCCACCAAUACUGUAAGACUUGAGUGUGAAAGGGGUAAGUGGAAUUCCAGGUGUAGCGGUGGAAUGCGUAGAUAUCUGGGAGAACGCCAAAGGCGAAGGCAGCUUACUGGGUCACAACUGACGCUGAGAGACGAAAGCUAGGGUAGCGAACGGG